Molecule: ribosomal RNA, 255 nt
Filed under: uncultured bacterium
Lineage: Bacteria
Description: partial 16S ribosomal RNA
Rfam family: Bacterial small subunit ribosomal RNA
Source: RNAcentral
UACGGGGGGGUGCGAGCGUUGUCCGGAAUCACUGGGCGUAAAGGGCGCGUAGGUGGUUUGAUAAGGGUGUGGUGAAAGUCCGGGGCUCAACCCCGGAUCUGCCGUGCCGACUGUCAAACUCGAGGACUGUAGAGGCAGACGGAAUUCCGGGUGUAGCGGUGGAAUGCGUAGAGAUCCGGAGGAAGACCGGUGGCGAAGGCGGUCUGCUGGGCAGUUUCUGACACUGAGGCGCGACAGCGUGGGGAGCAAACAGGG